CUUUUGAGUUCAGUAGUAGUAGCUGAUAAGUUGUGUUCUUCUAAUUCCCUGAUCAAAAUGGCCUCGAUUAGAGAUUUUGCCAAGAGAUAUGAAGCUGACUGCAGACACCUCAACCAAUUCUUUUCUGGAAAUGUUUCCCCGAACAAUGCGAGACCGGUCCUGGAGAUCUUCACCGCAAGGAGCAGCCAGGAGAUGAAGCAAAUCUGCAGGGCUUACAGCAGCAUGUAUCGCCAAGAUCUCAUCCAGCUACUGUCGCAGCAGAAGACCACCUUUGCAGUAAUCCCAGCUUCUGAUCCUCUUGUGUCAAAACAUAUUUCAAUCUUGUCUGGUUCGAUCGCCAUCAGGGUGGCGUGCCUCAGAGCUAGCGAGCCGUGCGUCCGCGACGCAGACAUCGCCAGGGACGCGCUGUUCGGGCGGCGGAUCGACGGCGACGUGCUCGUCGAGGUCGUGUGCACGCGGCCCUCCGGCGAGGUCGCGCUGAUCAGGCAGGCGUACCAGGCCCGGUACAGCGCCAGCCUCGAACGCGACGUCUCGUCGAGGACAAGCGGCAGCCUCAACGAGGUUCUUCUCGCGUUCUUGGGAUCGAGCGGGAGCGGCUACCAUGGCGGCCGGGUGGACGCGACGAUGGCGAUGUGCGACGCCAAGACGCUGUACGAGGCGGUGGAGAUCAGCGCGGCGCGGGUGGACCAGAGGAGCGUCCUGCAGCUGCUGCGCCACCGGAGCGGCGACCAGCUCAGGGCGGUGCUCGCGUCGUACAGGCGGCUGUACGGGCAGGAGCUCGCGCGGGCGCUGAAGAGGAAGGACGGCGACACCAGCGGCGGCGGCGGUGGCCGGCGAGGCGAGUCGUCGUCGUUCCCGGGCAUCCUCCGCGCGGCGCUGCGGUGCGCGCAGCUCCCCGAGAGGCACUUCGCGAGGGCGGUGCGCGCGGCGCUGGAGCGCGGCGGCGGCGCGGCGAGGGAGGCGCUGGUGCGGACCGUCGUGACGCGCGCGGGCGUCGACGUGCGCCGCGUCAACCAGGCGUUCGCGGCCAAGACCGGGUGGACGCUGGAGAGCGUCGUCCGGAACGAGUUCGGCAGCGGCGGCACCGGGAAGUCGGACGACGGCUUGACCGGCGACUUGCUCGUGGAGUUGCUCAAGUUGGCCUGAGGACAAGAGA
This 1156-nucleotide long non-coding RNA is filed under the name Oryza sativa Indica Group (long-grained rice). RNAcentral describes it as "lncRNA OsZS97_09G007850". Lineage: Eukaryota; Viridiplantae; Streptophyta; Magnoliopsida; Poales; Poaceae. The record is from RNAcentral.